AAGCUGUGAUGAUAUUUGCGUUAAUUGUGGCAGUUGGGUCCGCCACUUCUGUCUGAUCUUCAGACGAAGCUUAUAGCGCAUCUGAGCUU
Spinacia oleracea (spinach) is the source of this 89-nucleotide small nucleolar RNA. RefSeq annotates it as small nucleolar RNA snoR114. The record is from RefSeq and is a predicted model, not a curated record. The transcript has a single exon. NCBI's taxonomy places the organism in Eukaryota, Viridiplantae, Streptophyta, Magnoliopsida, Caryophyllales, Amaranthaceae.